CCUACGGGUGGCUGCAGUGAGGAAUAUUGGUCAAUGGGCGGGAGCCUGAACCAGCCAAGCAGCGUGAGGGAAGAAGGUACAGCGUAUCGUACACCUCUUUUGUCAGGGCACAAAGGCUGGGACUAGUCCCCGGAUGAGGGUACCUGAAGAAAAAGCAUCGGCUAACUCCGUUCCAGCAGCCGCGGUAAUACGGGGGAUGCGAGCGUUAUCCGGAUUAAUUGGGUUUAAGGGUUGCGCAGGGGGCCUGUUAAGUCAGCGGUAAAAGCCCGGGGGUCAACCCCGGCGAGCCGUUGAAACUGGCGGGCUGGAGUUGGAGAGAAGUACGCGGAAUGCGCGGUGUAGCGGUGAAAUGCUUAGAUAUCGCGCAGAACCCCGAUUGCGAAGGCAGCGUACCGGCUCCACACUGACGCUGAGGCACGAAAGCGUGGGUAUCGAACAGGAUUAGAUACACUUGUAGUC
This 459-nucleotide ribosomal RNA is filed under the name uncultured bacterium. RNAcentral describes it as "partial 16S ribosomal RNA". It matches the Rfam family "Bacterial small subunit ribosomal RNA", at positions 338 to 795 of the family's 1533-position model. The record is from RNAcentral.